RNAcentral lists this long non-coding RNA (332 nucleotides) under Elaeis guineensis (African oil palm). RNAcentral describes it as "long non-coding RNA (EGUI_LNC039678)". Lineage: Eukaryota; Viridiplantae; Streptophyta; Magnoliopsida; Arecales; Arecaceae. The record is from RNAcentral.
CCUCCAUUAGAAGCUGAAUCCAAAUCACAGACCUAACCUCCUGCACCGAACAUCUCCACCAAUACAUGCAGGGUAUUGUAAACAAUUAUCAGCCACACCGGACAACGGUUAAACAUGUGCGCAGCGCUACAAUUGAGAUAUACAUGUGUGAAGCCCUGAAAGCAUCCAAAUUGAUCUUUAAUGUAUAAGUAUAGAUUCUUGUCUCUCCUAGUUGGCAGAGACCGUCAGCUAUGUUGGGUGAAAAGGACAUCAAAGAAAAUCUUCUUCAAACAAAUUAAUGCAAGAAAUGGCUAACAUAGUUUGGUUUGGUUUGGAUUGAGUUCGAACUAUUG